ACCGAACGCUGGCGGCAUGCAUAACACAUGCACGUCGAACGAAAGCCUCGGCCUUACUCGCGCACGGGUGCGUACCGCGUGGGAAUCUGCCCCUCGCUUCGGAAUGAAAGUUAGAACUGACUGAUAAUCCAGGAUGAUGACUUCGGUCCUAAGAUUUAUCGCCGAGGGAUGAGCCCGCGUAAGAUUAGGUGGUUGGUGGUGUAAAGGCAUACCAAGCCGACGAUCUUUAGCUGGUCUGAGAGGAUGAUCAGCCACACUGGGACGGAGACACGGCCCAGACUCGUACGGGAGGCAGCAGGGGGGAAUAUUGGACGAUGGGGGAAAGCCUGAUCCAGAAAUGCCGGGUGAGUGAUGAAGGCCUUAGGGUUGUAAAGCUCUUUUACCAGGGAUGAUAAUGACAGUACCUGGAGAAUAAGCUCCGGCUAACUCCGUGCCAGCAGCCGCCGUAA
This 449-nucleotide ribosomal RNA is filed under the name uncultured bacterium. RNAcentral's name for it is "partial 16S ribosomal RNA". It matches the Rfam family "Bacterial small subunit ribosomal RNA", at positions 30 to 523 of the family's 1533-position model. The record is from RNAcentral.